AGGACGAACGCUGGCGGCGUGCUUAACACAUGCAAGUCGAACGAGGCGCUUGCGCCUAGUGGCGAACGGGUGAGUAACACGUGAGCAACCUGCCCUUGGCUCUGGGAUAGCCUCCGGAAACGGGGAUUAAUACCGGACAUGACCUUCUCCUGCAUGGGGGAGGGUGGAAAGUUUUUUCGGCCAGGGAGGGGCUCGCGGCCUAUCAGCUUGUUGGGGGGGUAACGCCCACCAAGGCGACGACGGGUAGCC
RNAcentral lists this ribosomal RNA (249 nucleotides) under uncultured bacterium. RNAcentral describes it as "partial small subunit ribosomal RNA". It matches the Rfam family "Bacterial small subunit ribosomal RNA", at positions 26 to 288 of the family's 1533-position model. The record is from RNAcentral.